UGGGGAAUAUUGCACAAUGGGGGAAACCCCUGAUGCAGCGACGCCGCGUGAGCGAUGAAGUAUUUCGGUAUGUAAAGCUCUAUCAGCAGGGAAGAAAAUGACGGUACCUGACUAAGAAGCCCCGGCUAACUACGUGCCA
Molecule: ribosomal RNA, 139 nt
Filed under: uncultured bacterium
Lineage: Bacteria
Description: partial 16S ribosomal RNA
Rfam family: Bacterial small subunit ribosomal RNA
Source: RNAcentral